Syngnathus typhle (broad-nosed pipefish) is the source of this 445-nucleotide long non-coding RNA. RefSeq lists it as uncharacterized. The record is from RefSeq and is a predicted model, not a curated record. The transcript has 2 exons. NCBI's taxonomy places the organism in Eukaryota, Metazoa, Chordata, Actinopteri, Syngnathiformes, Syngnathidae.
AGGGACAUGUUCGUUCCUCCAAGGGGGAAAUAACUACUGGCUCGAAAAGAAGAAACAAUUAAAGUUGAUUCUUUUAAAAGGCAGACAUGUAAAUCAUGAGUACACCGCGUGCAGCCAACACUUGUGAAUUUGAAAAUGUUUUUUUUCCCCCACCCCUUCAUUAUUUGAAAUAGUGGACAGGAAGGCAACAGUUCUUGAGACAUCCAGUGGAAGAUGAUAGCACUUAGUAAGCAUACAAUUAGGUUGCUCUGAUGUCAUCGCUCAAAGUCCCGACGGCUUUCAGGUGAUGGAUGUCCCGCUUGUUACCUCCACGCUGAACGGCUGCUCCUCUCCGUUCACGGCACAUAAAAUCCACAGCAACAACUGAAGGCAUAUCGUCCCCAUCCAGCAGCGAUCGAGACAUCUCUUGCUGCUGCGCACCGCCAAUAAAACCAUAGUGAGCGCC